RNAcentral lists this ribosomal RNA (1730 nucleotides) under Salmonella enterica subsp. enterica serovar Agona str. 442692 2-4. RNAcentral's name for it is "bacterial LSU rRNA". It matches the Rfam family "Bacterial large subunit ribosomal RNA", at positions 1220 to 2925 of the family's 2925-position model. The record is from RNAcentral. RNAcentral also lists the same sequence under 3 other names. Lineage: Bacteria; Pseudomonadati; Pseudomonadota; Gammaproteobacteria; Enterobacterales; Enterobacteriaceae.
GUUGUUGGGUAGGGGAGCGUUCUGUAAGCCUGCGAAGGUGGCCUGUGAGGGUUGCUGGAGGUAUCAGAAGUGCGAAUGCUGACAUAAGUAACGAUAAAGCGGGUGAAAAGCCCGCUCGCCGGAAGACCAAGGGUUCCUGUCCAACGUUAAUCGGGGCAGGGUGAGUCGACCCCUAAGGCGAGGCCGAAAGGCGUAGUCGAUGGGAAACGGGUUAAUAUUCCCGUACUUGGUGUUACUGCGAAGGGGGGACGGAGAAGGCUAUGUUGGCCGGGCGACGGUUGUCCCGGUUUAAGCGUGUAGGUGUGUGUUCCAGGUAAAUCCGGUUCACUUUAACACUGAGGCGUGACGACGAGGCACUACGGUGCUGAAGCAACAAAUGCCCUGCUUCCAGGAAAAGCCUCUAAGCAUCAGGUAACAUCAAAUCGUACCCCAAACCGACACAGGUGGUCAGGUAGAGAAUACCAAGGCGCUUGAGAGAACUCGGGUGAAGGAACUAGGCAAAAUGGUGCCGUAACUUCGGGAGAAGGCACGCUGACACGUAGGUGAAGUGAUUUACUCAUGGAGCUGAAGUCAGUCGAAGAUACCAGCUGGCUGCAACUGUUUAUUAAAAACACAGCACUGUGCAAACACGAAAGUGGACGUAUACGGUGUGACGCCUGCCCGGUGCCGGAAGGUUAAUUGAUGGGGUCAGCGCAAGCGAAGCUCCUGAUCGAAGCCCCGGUAAACGGCGGCCGUAACUAUAACGGUCCUAAGGUAGCGAAAUUCCUUGUCGGGUAAGUUCCGACCUGCACGAAUGGCGUAAUGAUGGCCAGGCUGUCUCCACCCGAGACUCAGUGAAAUUGAACUCGCUGUGAAGAUGCAGUGUACCCGCGGCAAGACGGAAAGACCCCGUGAACCUUUACUAUAGCUUGACACUGAACAUUGAGCCUUGAUGUGUAGGAUAGGUGGGAGGCUUUGAAGUGUGGACGCCAGUCUGCAUGGAGCCGACCUUGAAAUACCACCCUUUAAUGUUUGAUGUUCUAACGUGGACCCGUAAUCCGGGUUGCGGACAGUGUCUGGUGGGUAGUUUGACUGGGGCGGUCUCCUCCUAAAGAGUAACGGAGGAGCACGAAGGUUGGCUAAUCCUGGUCGGACAUCAGGAGGUUAGUGCAAUGGCAUAAGCCAGCUUGACUGCGAGCGUGACGGCGCGAGCAGGUGCGAAAGCAGGUCAUAGUGAUCCGGUGGUUCUGAAUGGAAGGGCCAUCGCUCAACGGAUAAAAGGUACUCCGGGGAUAACAGGCUGAUACCGCCCAAGAGUUCAUAUCGACGGCGGUGUUUGGCACCUCGAUGUCGGCUCAUCACAUCCUGGGGCUGAAGUAGGUCCCAAGGGUAUGGCUGUUCGCCAUUUAAAGUGGUACGCGAGCUGGGUUUAGAACGUCGUGAGACAGUUCGGUCCCUAUCUGCCGUGGGCGCUGGAGAACUGAGGGGGGCUGCUCCUAGUACGAGAGGACCGGAGUGGACGCAUCACUGGUGUUCGGGUUGUCAUGCCAAUGGCACUGCCCGGUAGCUAAAUGCGGAAGAGAUAAGUGCUGAAAGCAUCUAAGCACGAAACUUGCCCCGAGAUGAGUUCUCCCUGAGACUUAGAGUCUCCUGAAGGAACGUUGAAGACGACGACGUUGAUAGGCCGGGUGUGUAAGCGCAGCGAUGCGUUGAGCUAACCGGUACUAAUGAACCGUGAGGCUUAACCUUAC